This 255-nucleotide ribosomal RNA is filed under the name uncultured prokaryote. RNAcentral's name for it is "partial 16S ribosomal RNA". It matches the Rfam family "Bacterial small subunit ribosomal RNA", at positions 521 to 775 of the family's 1533-position model. The record is from RNAcentral.
UAAUACGAAGGGUGCAAGCGUUACUCGGAAUCACUGGGCGUAAAGCGUGCGUAGGCGGUUCGUUAAGUCUGCUGUGAAAGCCCUGGGCUCAACCUGGGAACUGCAGUGGAUACUGGCGGGCUAGAGUGUGAUAGAGGAUGGUGGAAUUCCCGGUGUAGCGGUGAAAUGCGUAGAGAUCGGGAGGAACACCAGUGGCGAAGGCGGCCAUCUGGAUCAACACUGACACUGAGGCACGAAAGCGUGGGGAGCAAACAG